GACGAACGCUGGCGGCGUGCUUAACACAUGCAAGUCGAACGGAAAGGCCCUGCUUUUGUGGGGUGCUCGAGUGGCGAACGGGUGAGUAACACGUGAGUAACCUGCCCUUGACUUUGGGAUAACUUCAGGAAACUGGGGCUAAUACCGGAUAGGAGCUCCUGCUGCAUGGUGGGGGUUGGAAAGUUUCGGCGGUUGGGGAUGGACUCGCGGCUUAUCAGCUUGUUGGUGGGGUAGUGGCUUACCAAGGCUUUGACGGGUAGCCGGCCUGGGAGGGUGACCGGCCACAUUGGGACUGAGGUACGGCCCAGACUCCUACGGGGGGCAGCAGUGGGGAAUAUUGCACAAUGGGCGGAAGCCUGAUGCAGCAACGCCGCGUGCGGGAUGGCGGCCUUCGGGUUGUAAACCGCUUUCGCCUGUGACGAAGCGUGAGUGACGGUAAUGGGUAAAGAAGCACCGGCUAACUACGUG
RNAcentral lists this ribosomal RNA (468 nucleotides) under uncultured bacterium. Its description in RNAcentral is "partial 16S ribosomal RNA". It matches the Rfam family "Bacterial small subunit ribosomal RNA", at positions 28 to 507 of the family's 1533-position model. The record is from RNAcentral.